UACGUAGGGUGCAAGCGUUGUCCGGAAUUAUUGGGCGUAAAGAGCUUGUAGGCGGUUUGUCGCGUCUGCUGUGAAAUUUCGGGGCUCAACCCCGAACUUGCAGUGGGUACGGGCAGACUAGAGUGUGGUAGGGGAGACUGGAAUUCCUGGUGUAGCGGUGAAAUGCGUAGAUAUCGAGAGGAACACCUGCGGCGAAGGCGGGUUGCUGGGCUGACACUGACGCUGAAGCGCGAAAGCUAGGGGAGCGAACGGG
Molecule: ribosomal RNA, 253 nt
Filed under: uncultured bacterium
Lineage: Bacteria
Description: partial 16S ribosomal RNA
Rfam family: Bacterial small subunit ribosomal RNA
Source: RNAcentral